Molecule: ribosomal RNA, 253 nt
Filed under: uncultured bacterium
Lineage: Bacteria
Description: partial 16S ribosomal RNA
Rfam family: Bacterial small subunit ribosomal RNA
Source: RNAcentral
UACAGAGGUCUCAAGCGUUGUUCGGAUUCAUUGGGCGUAAAGGGUGCGUAGGCGGCGCGGUAAGCCGGGUGUGAAAUCUCGGGGCUUAACUCCGAAACUGCAUUCGAUACUGCCGUGCUUGAGGACUGGAGAGGAGACUGGAAUUUACGGUGUAGCGGUGAAAUGCGUAGAUAUCGUAAGGAAGACCAGUGGCGAAGGCGGGUCUCUGGACAGUUCCUGACGCUGAGGCACGAAGGUCAGGGGAGCAAACGGG